This 543-nucleotide ribosomal RNA is filed under the name Actinoplanes sp. 306F01. RNAcentral's name for it is "bacterial SSU rRNA". It matches the Rfam family "Bacterial small subunit ribosomal RNA", at positions 93 to 651 of the family's 1533-position model. Lineage: Bacteria; Bacillati; Actinomycetota; Actinomycetes; Micromonosporales; Micromonosporaceae. The record is from RNAcentral.
GAGCGGCGAACGGGUGAGUAACACGUGAGUAACCUGCCCUGGACUUUGGGAUAACCCUCGGAAACGGGGGCUAAUACCGAAUACGACCUGCCACUGCAUGGNNGGUGGUGGAAAGUUUUUCGGUCUGGGAUGGGCUCGCGGCCUAUCAGCUUGUUGGUGGGGUGAUGGCCUACCAAGGCGACGACGGGUAGCCGGCCUGAGAGGGCGACCGGCCACACUGGGACUGAGACACGGCCCAGACUCCUACGGGAGGCAGCAGUGGGGAAUAUUGCACAAUGGGCGGAAGCCUGAUGCAGCGACGCCGCGUGAGGGAUGACGGCCUUCGGGUUGUAAACCUCUUUCAGCAGGGACGAAGCGCAAGUGACGGUACCUGCAGAAGAAGCGCCGGCCAACUACGUGCCAGCAGCCGCGGUAAGACGUAGGGCGCGAGCGUUGUCCGGAUUUAUUGGGCGUAAAGAGCUCGUAGGCGGCUUGUCGCGUCGACCGUGAAAACUCGCAGCUCAACUGCGAGCCUGCGGUCGAUACGGGCAGGCUAGAGUUCGA